RNAcentral lists this ribosomal RNA (497 nucleotides) under uncultured bacterium. RNAcentral's name for it is "partial 16S ribosomal RNA". It matches the Rfam family "Bacterial small subunit ribosomal RNA", at positions 28 to 507 of the family's 1533-position model. The record is from RNAcentral.
GAUGAACGCUGGCGGCGUGCCUAAUACAUGCCAGUCGAGCGAACAGACGAGGAGCUUGCUCCUCUGACGUUAGCGGCGGACGGGUGAGUAACACGUGGAUAACCUACCUAUAAGACUGGGAUCACUUUGGGAAACCGGAGCUAAUACCGGAUAAUAUAUUGAACCGCAUGGUUCAAUAGUGAAAGACGGUUUUGCUGUCACUUAUAGAUGGAUCCGCGCCGCAUUAGCUAGUUGGUAAGGUAACGGCUUACCAAGGCAACGAUGCGUAGCCGACCUGAGAGGGUGAUCGGCCACCCUGGAACUGAGACACGGUCCAGACUCCUACGGGAGGCAGCAGUAGGGAAUCUUCCGCAAUGGGCGAAAGCCUGACGGAGCAACGCCGCGUGAGUGAUGAAGGUCUUCGGAUCGUAAAACUCUGUUAUUAGGGAAGAACAAAUGUGUAAGUAACUAUGCACGUCUUGACGGUACCUAAUCAGAAAGCCACGGCUAACUACGUG